UGGGGAAUUUUGGACAAUGGGCGAAAGCCUGAUCCAGCAAUGCCGCGUGUGUGAAGAAGGCCUUCGGGUUGUAAAGCACUUUUGUCCGGAAAGAAAUCCUUGGCUCUAAUACAGUCGGGGGAUGACGGUACCGGAAGAAUAAGCACCGGCUAACUACGUGCCAGCAGCCGCGGUAAUACGUAGGGUGCAAGCGUUAAUCGGAAUUACUGGGCGUAAAGCGUGCGCAGGCGGUUUGCUAAGACCGAUGUGAAAUCCCCGGGCUCAACCUGGGAACUGCAUUGGUGACUGGCAGGCUAGAGUAUGGCAGAGGGGGGUAGAAUUCCACGUGUAGCAGUGAAAUGCGUAGAGAUGUGGAGGAAUACCGAUGGCGAAAGGCAGCCCCCUGGGCCAAUACUGACGCUCAUGCACGAAAGCGUGGGGAGCAAACAGGAUUAGAUACCCUGGUAGUCCACG
Molecule: ribosomal RNA, 453 nt
Filed under: uncultured bacterium
Lineage: Bacteria
Description: partial 16S ribosomal RNA
Rfam family: Bacterial small subunit ribosomal RNA
Source: RNAcentral